Molecule: ribosomal RNA, 307 nt
Filed under: uncultured bacterium
Lineage: Bacteria
Description: partial 16S ribosomal RNA
Rfam family: Bacterial small subunit ribosomal RNA
Source: RNAcentral
AGACAGCAGCAGCCGCGGUAAUGCGUAGGUGGCAAGCGUUGUCCGGAAUUAUUGGGCGUAAAGCGCGCGCAGGUGGUUUAAUAAGUCUGAUGUGAAAGCCCACGGCUCAACCGUGGAGGGUCAUUGGAAACUGUUAAACUUGAGUGCAGGAGAGAAAAGUGGAAUUCCUAGUGUAGCGGUGAAAUGCGUAGAGAUGUGGAGGAGCACCAGUGGCGAAGGCGACUCUCUGGUCUGUAACUGACGCUGAGGAGCGAGAGCGUGGGGAGCGAAUAGGAUUAGAUACCCCCGUAGUCCCUGUCUCUUAUAC